GGCACAAACGCUGCCCGCUCCCGGCUGAGCGCACUUCCGCCUCCUCCCCGCCAUUCAAUCCCAGCGCUGGGAUGCUCCCUCCAUCUCCGUGCCAUGCGGGCUCCAAACAGUUUUACCUGGGUGAGGGAAGCAGGCUGAAGAAAGCAUGUGAUCACACGAAGUCGAGAAUCUUGUUUUCUUUGGAGUGAAACUAUUCCUUUCACCUGUGUGAUGGCAUGAAAGAGUUUUCAUCUGAGGCAAAUGAAAAAUAUUCCACCGCCUUCCCACCAACCUCCAGUACCAGCUCUGUAAAGAACAAAAGGAAUGAGGCUGGAGAGAAACCAUCCUGAAAAGGUCAACCAUUUCAACAUGUCCAAAGCAUUGAGGGGUUUCCAGUGAAUUAUAUUCCUCAGGGAAAGGCAGAGGCAUGGGUAGUUGUCUGGUUUUAAGCAUCUCUGACAUGCUUUGAUUCUAAACACCACAUCAGACAAAAUGUGGUGAACUUUAACUUUUAGACUUUUGGUAAAUAGAUAUUUAUCUUAAAAAUACUUCAUCAUUAGUAUGAACAGCAACAGCCAUCCCUCUCUCUUUCUUUCAGGAGAGAUAUUAGAUUUCCUUUUAUUUUCUCCUUGGGACAAAACUGAAGUUGUGACUUGAGCUGAGAUCACCACAAAGAGCAACAGAAAGUCCAGCCUUGAGCUGAGCCAAUUUCACCUCAGAGAAACUACACGAGGAAAGGCAUCCACCAAAUGAUAAAAGCAAACAGCCCCUGUGAGCACAUCAUUCCAUGGGUCUCAUGAAGUGCUUUACUUGAACUUAUAAUACUCUUGAAAUCAGCUUUUGGCCCAACAUAGCUCACAUAAAUUUCAGUCAGGCUUGCAGCUUUCCACCCAAAAUUAACAUGGCUGUUGUUGCCUGUCAAAGAGAUGUCAAAGGCAGUGUGAAUCUGCCUUUCAAGUCUGAGUCAUUGUGACAGGCCACACAAAGUCACUGCUUCUGGUUCUGAGGACAAAGACCUUUAGUUCUGAGGACAAAGACCUUGCAUGUUUUCCAUCUAGCCCAAACCCUUCUGAUACAUUUGUGUGGUGACACAACCUUGGGGAAAAUAUGGUUGUGUGGGCAGCAGCCCUUUGCAAUUCUAACUCUUAAAAACUAAUUCUGUCAUAAGAAAUAAAUCCUUUGUGGAGAAGGCUGAUUGAACCUUAAUUUGCAGAGGUUAAUGCAGAUGCACAAUCCAGCAUCCAAGCAGGGGUUUGUGGUGCUAGUGUGGGCAGUUCUGCUGGGCAAGCUGUGCCAGAACAAUUGGGUUUGGUUGGUGCCUGGACACCGUGGCGCUGAUGAAGCUGCACUUUCACCUAUGGUAGAACUUCAGAACUUCAAAACCUCAUAUUUAAGCAAUAAGGUAAUUUUUAGUCCCAUAUCUGUAUUUCAAAAGUGCAGGCUUACAGACAGUCUGAAAGCUGUCAUCUCACUGAUCAUUGAAGUCAGACUCUGGUUCAUGUAAUGAACAUGUGCCAAAAAGGAAGAACCUGCUCUUACACUUGCUGCCACUACAAAGUUUUAUCAGACAAGGAUGACACAAGGGGACAUUUUUAACCGUUCAGGUGCAACCUGAGUCAGUGGCAGAGUAACAGAUCCACUCCGCUGUUAUCCAGAGAUCUCAUGUUCCCAACCUUCUCCUUACCUCAUGUAACACACCACUAUAAGUAAGAAAUUUAAGGUACCCAGCAACCUAAUGCCGUGGCAGAGGGAGAGGAUGAAAUGAUUAAAAAAACAGCAGGUUAAGAUUUGAACAGGAAAUCUUACCAGGUUAUGCAAAUGCUACAUGAAAUUUUAAUUUAAAACUCAUAACGAUGCUGAUUUCCAGGUAAGAAAAAGGCUUAAUGAAGCUUGACUAAUUAAUUUUAGAGGUGAACCUCUGCUACAUUCUGCAGUGCAAAAGCUGAGGAGAACAGGUGGGGCUUGUUACAGCAUAAAUUCUACUGUUACUUUUCAGAACAUCCUGAAAACUUAAAAGCAAGCUUGCCAUGUGCACAUUACUGAAACAACCAGUGUAUAUUGCCCUGCCCAGAUUCCUUCCCAGCACAAUUCAUCUGAACCUCACUCAGCUGCAGGACAACCCAGAUCCAUAAAAAAGAGUUUUAGUCCCUGAAUACUUCUGCAUGUGUUCCUGGCAGGAGACAAGGAGUGCUGGGCACCAUUCCUGCCACUGGAAAUUCAGCUCCUCACCUCCCUGUUACUCAGUGUCAUGCUAACAAUUCUGCACAGCCACACAGCACUUGCAGACCUGGCAUGUCCUGGUGUUCCCCCCAGCCCCAUUCUGAUGCACACACACACACACACACACACUCAAAUCAAGGCCUCCUAACUUUAUUUCAACUAAACAUUCUUUAAAAAAAAUAUUUAAAAAUUUAAAAAUCAAUGUUGGCCACACCUAACAACAUGUGAAUAUGCAGAGAUCAAAACACAAAGGUCUGUAGAAGUUCUUGGAAGCAGAAAAAAGCAAACCCUACAAAUCAGUAAUAUUUUCAGACUGUUGACAUUUUAUUUUCAAUACAUGCUCAUCUGAGAGCUUCAGGUUUCUGUUUUCAAAGGUGCUUAUUAACCAGUGAUCAUUUUACACUGAACCACAUAUUAUUGGGAUUUUUUUAAAUAUAAAUGAAAAAGUGUAUGUUUUCUGUUAUUUGUAAUUUAUUUUUAAUUAAAUGUGUUUUAACAGAAACAAUGGCUUUUUUUAAUGCAGAGGGAAAAAAAACCCAAAACAAAACCCCCACGUGCUUAGAAAAGAACAGUGUCUCUCCCAGACAGCUUUCCUCUAAUUAAAACAGGCCAAGCAACUCUGAAGAGUGCUGUGUCUGCUUAUGCCACUAGAUAUUUUGUCUGUAUAAAAAUAGUACAAUAAUCAACUCUAUGAAUUGCUGCAGCCUCCAGGAGAAGAAAACCCACCAGUAAAUAUUCUGAAGGGUGUUCAAAAGCUGAAUGAUGUGUUUGAAAACCUCUGUCAUUUGCAGGUAACUGCUGAAUGGAGAAUAUGGUUGGUCAAUAGGUAUUUCUUUUAUGUUCUUCAGUAAAAGAUGGAUUUGGUUUUUCCACUAUAAAGUUUUUACAUUCUUUGCUCUGUUAUCAAUGCUUUACACUCCCACUAUUUUUAUGAGCUAUAACUAACAUCACAAAAGUACUGAUACUGUUUCACACUGAGAUAUGGCCAUGUCACUUUAUUCUCUAAUGAGAUUUUAUCCUGGAGCAUACAGCUGGGCACAUAAAAGGAGCUUAGGAAAAGGAACCAGCCCAACUUCAAUCGUGCCAUGGAAGGCCUUAAACUGGAACAAAAUUAAAAGCAGCAUUUCAGUUUAGGAGAAUGCCUCCCCCUGAGCUAAGGAAGCAGAGACACAUCCUCCUCCCUCCUCCAAAGAUCCAGCCUGUUUCUGUGGGCUAUGCUCUGUCCUUAUCCAAACAGUUUGUCUUAUAAAUAAAUAAAAACACCAAACCUCUCCCUU
Molecule: non-coding RNA, 3476 nt
Organism: Zonotrichia albicollis (white-throated sparrow)
Lineage: Eukaryota; Metazoa; Chordata; Aves; Passeriformes; Passerellidae
Source: RefSeq, a predicted model, not a curated record